UGACUGAAGUUCAGAAGUGGCUCUUUUCACGAACACGUUGCCAUGCGUUGCAAUUUUCACGUUUGCGAAAUUUUCUCAACGCUGCUCUCGAUACUUAGGUAUCAUGGUUAUGCUAGCGAUUCUACAGGAUGGGCCAAAAAUCACUUC
Frieseomelitta varia is the source of this 147-nucleotide long non-coding RNA. RefSeq lists it as uncharacterized. The record is from RefSeq and is a predicted model, not a curated record. The transcript has 3 exons. Lineage: Eukaryota; Metazoa; Arthropoda; Insecta; Hymenoptera; Apidae.